UACGUAGGGGCCGAGCGUUGUCCGGAUUCAUUGGGCGUAAAGAGCGUGUAGGCGGCCGCUUAAGUCCUGCGUGAAAUCUCGGAGCUCAACUCCAGAACUGCCUUUGAUACUGAAGAUCUUGAGUUCGGGAGAGGUGAGUGGAACUGCGAGUGUAGAGGUGAAAUUCGUAGAUAUUCGCAAGAACACCAGUGGCGAAGGCGGCUCACUGGCCCGAUACUGACGCUGAGGCACGAAAGCGUGGGGAGCAAACAGG
This 253-nucleotide ribosomal RNA is filed under the name uncultured bacterium. RNAcentral describes it as "partial 16S ribosomal RNA". It matches the Rfam family "Bacterial small subunit ribosomal RNA", at positions 524 to 776 of the family's 1533-position model. The record is from RNAcentral.